Molecule: long non-coding RNA, 2224 nt
Organism: Phyllostomus hastatus (greater spear-nosed bat)
Lineage: Eukaryota; Metazoa; Chordata; Mammalia; Chiroptera; Phyllostomidae
Exons: 3
Source: RefSeq, a predicted model, not a curated record
GCAAUUUGUAACUUUCAGUAGCUCUCCGGGACUGGGUACCGGAGGGAGGCGGGCGGAGGUGGGGAGAUGGGUACCUCCAGUCCUUCCACUCUCCUCGUUCAUCCUCGGGCACCCGGACCCCCCAGGCCUCCUUUCCCCCGGCACGCAGGCCCUGGCAGGGUCCCUCGCCCGCUCUGUCCCGCGGUGGCUCCGGAGCAGCAAGCUUCUUCAGAUUCACUGCAGGCACAAAAAUCAAAUUAUGAGAGUAACCUGUUUCUCAAAGACCUGCCCCUGGUGACCGUGUCCGCUCCUCGGAGGGAAACAGAGCCCGAGUGGGCAGAAGUGAAGCUGUCGCCGCCCCUCCUGCCUGGCUGCUCCAGCUUCAGCGGCGUCACAUUGGCAUUCCAGGCACAUUCAGCCCAGCCCCCGUCCCAGCUUCUCCCAAUUGACGAUUGAUGUUGCUUCUCUGCUCUGGGAAGACUGGAGAUAGGAGCAUGGAACCUCCUAGAGGCUGAGAGCUGAGCGGACUCCCUGAGGCUGGGAGCAGAUCCACCCUCUCACCCCCACCCCUGAGUCUGGUCAGACGAUUGGGGUGCCCGUGGUGAGGGCAGCGAGAGUGGGCCCGGGCCCUGGUAGCUGGGGCGCCUGAUUUCUUCCCUAACCUCUGUUCUGGCUCUUGGGCUGAUGGUCCCCUAUCAGUGCCCACCGACUGCAGGGGAAGCCACUGCUUUUCCCCUGGAGGGCUGUGACGGGGAAAUUACUUCCCUUGUCUAAUACUCCCUUUGGUAGAAUCACCUCUGGAGUGUGUGUAGGAGGUGAUUGGGUGGAGACUCACAUUUACUAAAUACCCUCUGACUAUGGACCAGCCCACACAUCCAUGAUCUCACUUGAGAGGGUGGGGAAAACAGAGGGCUAAAAAGGUGGAGUAACUUGCCGAAGACAUAAAGCAAAGAAAGUGGCAGAGCUGGAAUCUGAACUCUGAUCUGCCUGAUGACAAAUCUUAACUUACUUCCAUGGCUGCACAUUUUCUGAAGGGGGAGGGGAGACACAUGGAAAGUCGGGACCAGGAUGAGGCCAGGACCAUAGAGCCUCUGGAGGAUGGAAGGUGGGGAGUGGGGGAGUGGGGAUGGGAGGAGGCCAGGUGGGAAUGUUUCAGUCAGGGAGGACUUCCUAGGGGAGGAAAAUGCAGAUCAGAGUUCAGAUGUGAAGGGAAUGAGGAUACUAAGUAAAGAAGAGGGAGGGAGUGGUGCAUUGCAAAGAGGGAGAGGAAGAAAGGGCUAUCCAAAGGUCAAGUGAGGCCAAGGGACGUGAAUCUGAUUUGCCUGGGGUUUGCCUUGCUGGCACCAGGUAAAAUCAGUUACCAGGUCCUGAGGGCCCACUCUGAGCCAGCUAUGGGCAUUAUCCGUCAAUGCUGACACACAGCAACCCUGAGAAGUAUGUUUCUUAUUCCUAUGUCCACAAGAGCCAGUUGAAGCUCAGAGACCUUAAUCCCCACUUCAGGUGACACAUUUGGUAGCUGGACUUGCCUGGCACAAAAACCUGUGCCCGGGCCACCUGCAAAGCGUGUCUUGCCUUCCAUUCUGAGUUCAAAUGAUCCUGCAUCCCCACAUGUAUUGUCACAUGUGGUGACAGGAGCCGGGUGAGAGAGUGAGAUGAGACGGAGUGGGAUGGCCAGCCGGCAGUGGUAGAAGGAACCUUUCUCAUGCCCUAGUGAGGAGAAUGGAUAGAAGGGUGGGACAAGGCCUCCAAACCACUUUCCUGGGACUGCUAAUCUUGGGUGGGUGGCAGGACCUCAUUGGGAAUCACACUGUUUUCUGGGCGGUGGGCGGUGGACUCUGGGAGGGGAAGAGGAAGAGGGCAGCUUAGGGGUGGGUCGAGCCCUGGAUUAAGACUGCCAGUUUCCCACUGAAGUCCCUUCUCUCCUUGUCAUGUGAGGAUAGAGAGUCUCCCAGCCGGACACUCCACUUUCCAGCUGCCCUUUCUACAAGGUGUGGCCAGCAGGGAAUGUGAGCUAGAUAAUAUUAUCAGAGCCUUAAAACAUGGGGUAAGUUCUCCUUUUUUAUGAGCUGGACCAGAUACGCCUGAGACUGAGCUUUGACUGCAAUGGAGGAGAAAUUCCUAAGCGAGGGCAGGGCAACAAUGUACUAGGAACCCAAGUUCCUGACUGACCAAGUGGAGCAGAGCGAUCUGCCAUCCAGGACUGCCCCCUUCCACUGUUACGUGAGAAAUAAACUUGUUUUCUGAA